CAGUAGCCGCGGGAAUACCGAGGGUGCAAGCGUUAAUCGGAAUUACUGGGCGUAAAGCGCGCGUAGGUGGUUUGUUAAGUUGGAUGUGAAAGCCCCGGGCUCAACCUGGGAACUGCAUCCAAAACUGGCAAGCUAGAGUACGGUAGAGGGUGGUGGAAUUUCCUGUGUAGCGGUGAAAUGCGUAGAUAUAGGAAGGAACACCAGUGGCGAAGGCGACCACCUGGACUGAUACUGACACUGAGGUGCGAAAGCGUGGGGAGCAAACAGGAUUAGAUACCCGCGUAGUCCCUGUCUCUUAUAC
Molecule: ribosomal RNA, 301 nt
Filed under: uncultured bacterium
Lineage: Bacteria
Description: partial 16S ribosomal RNA
Rfam family: Bacterial small subunit ribosomal RNA
Source: RNAcentral